CCUGCCCAGUGACUUAACAAAUUCAACGGCCGCGGUAUCCUAACCGUGCAAAGGUAGCAUAAUCACUUGCCCAUUAAUUGUGGGCUAGAAUGAAAGGACUAACGAAAUAGAUACUGUCUCUAUAAGCUCAAUAAAAAUUAAUCUCUAACUGAAGACUGUUAGAUUCCGUCGAAGGACAAGAAGACCCUAUAGAGCUUUAUUUAACAAAAGAUAGAUCACUUUUUUAUAAUUCGGUUGGGGCGACCGGGGAAGUAAUAAAUCAUCCCUUAUUAUCAGAUWACUAAAUCUCAUUUAUGACCCUUGAAAAMGAUCACAAGACCAAG
RNAcentral lists this ribosomal RNA (323 nucleotides) under Bimastos eiseni. RNAcentral's name for it is "partial 16S ribosomal RNA". It matches the Rfam family "Bacterial large subunit ribosomal RNA", at positions 1858 to 2355 of the family's 2925-position model. The record is from RNAcentral. Lineage: Eukaryota; Metazoa; Annelida; Clitellata; Crassiclitellata; Lumbricidae.